UAUAUUUGAGUAUUUUAUGUACACGAAUUUUUGGAGUUCGGGGGAGUAGUUUAAUUCUAUUAAAUAUAA
RNAcentral lists this transfer RNA (69 nucleotides) under Osphya sp. n. RNAcentral's name for it is "tRNA-Gln". The record is from RNAcentral. Lineage: Eukaryota; Metazoa; Arthropoda; Insecta; Coleoptera; Melandryidae.